GAGUUUGAUCCUGGCUCAGGAUGAACGCUAGCGGCAGGCUUAACACAUGCAAGUCGAGGGGUAACGGGGAAGCUUGCUUCCGCCGACGACCGGCGCACGGGUGCGUAACGCGUAUACAAUCUACCUUAUACUGGGGUAUAGCCUUUAGAAAUGAAGAUUAAUCCCCCAUAGUCUCUUAAAGUGGCAUCACUUAAGGAGUAAAGGUUACGGUAUAAGAUGAGUAUGCGUUCUAUUAGUUUGUUGGUGUGGUAACGGCACACCAAGACUACGAUAGAUAGGGGCCCUGAGAGGGGGAUCCCCCACACUGGUACUGAGACACGGACCAGACUCCUACGGGAGGCAGCAGUGAGGAAUAUUGGACAAUGGAGGCAACUCUGAUCCAGCCAUGCCGCGUGCAGGAUGACUGCCCUAUGGGUUGUAAACUGCUUUUAUACAGGAAGAAACUUACACACGUGUGUGUAACUGACGGUACUGUAAGAAUAAGGAUCGGCUAACUCCGUGCCAGCAGCCGCGGUAAUACGGAGGAUCCAAGCGUUAUCCGGAAUCAUUGGGUUUAAAGGGUCCGUAGGUUGAUAAUUAAGUCAGAGGUGAAAUCUUGCAGCUCAACUGUAAAAUUGCCUUUGAUACUGGUUAUCUUGAGUUAUUAUGAAGUAGUUAGAAUAUGUAGUGUAGCGGUGAAAUGCAUAGAUAUUACAUAGAAUACCAAUUGCGAAGGCAGAUUACUAAUAAUCAACUGACACUGAUGGACGAAAGCGUGGGUAGCGAACAGGAUUAGAUACCCUGGUAGUCCACGCCGUAAACGAUGGUUACUAGCUGUUUGGACCUUGUGUCUGAGUGGCUAAGCGAAAGUGAUA
Molecule: ribosomal RNA, 854 nt
Filed under: uncultured bacterium
Lineage: Bacteria
Description: bacterial SSU rRNA
Rfam family: Bacterial small subunit ribosomal RNA
Source: RNAcentral